GGACUUGUGGCCCCAGGCUGAAAUGUAGUCCUGGGCCACGGGUAGGAUUUUCUCUUGGCAUCAACCUCCAGAUGCUCUCAGAGAUGAGAGCACCUGAGCUGGUCAUUCUGCUCAGCUGCACAUCUGCUGCUCUGGUACCCAGUCUGCUUCUCUUGCUGAAACUCCAUUGUUUCCUCACUUCCAUAUCAUGUGAAAAUAUCAUCCAUUUUAGUUAUACCUACAUGUUUCUUUACAGGCCACCCAAGAUCAUGUAGACUGAAAAGUUUCAUGUCUGUCAUUUGUUAGUAUCAGUAUCAUUUAAUAGAUCAGUAUCAGAACAAGCAUAAUCCAGGAGGGUCCAAUUCAGUAUUCCAGUCUGACCCUAAACCGAAAACAACUCUAAAUCAGGUCCCCAGUUCAUGGUGAUGAGGCAGGCCCAAGACCAAGCCAGGAGGUCAAUCUGCAGGCCACCAUCAGGUCCAGUGAUUGCCAGGCAGGUCGGGACGAGGCAGGGCUGUGGGGAGCAGGAGACCAGUCCUGAUGAGGCAUUGCUGCAGCAGGAGCUGACAGCCCCAGGGGACUGAGAUGGGGCCCUGGGUUGUGGGUAGGGUGAGGGGAGCCCCAGGGGAGGUGGUCAGGGCCACCGAGAUGUAAUUGUGCACUCAGGGCCCUGACAUACACUGCAGUAGACAAUCCUGCUCUGCUCUGCUUUUGCCUUCCAAAACUCUGCGAUAAUCAUUUUAUGGUAAUAGUUCUAAUUAAGUCAAUUAGGCAAAAUUAGACGAGUACCUUAAAUGGCAGGUGAAAAUUAUUUACCUUAUUCUACUGCCUGAGGACUCGUAAAUGCACAAGAACGUAAAUAUGUUUAAAUGCAGCUGACAGUGUUUGCAACAAGUGAAGACAGAAGAAUACUGAUGAGUGCAUAAAUGUGUAUCUUAAUCAUUUUGUUUCCAUUCAAUCAUUUCAAGGAAAGGGAACUCUGCAAGUGAACUAUCAUUAUUUAAGAGACUUAGACCUUAUCCUCAUCAAAGACCGAAAGAGAAAUGUGCAGCCAUUUACCAGCCACCCAAUUUUUCUGAGAACUUGCAGCAGUGGAGCAGAGCCCUGCUCAGUAAUGGCACUCAGGAGCUAUAUGAACCUUUUUGCACCUGGAAAAAAACACUCACAAGGUAUCAGGUACUGGGCUGAUGGUUCCACUUCAGCCCAGUUCUACAACCACCCUCUGAUGGCCCUGCUGGAAAUCCUGACACCUGAGUCACUAAAAGCUGCAGUAGACAAUGUGCUUGAG
Molecule: long non-coding RNA, 1267 nt
Filed under: Anser brachyrhynchus (Pink-footed goose)
Lineage: Eukaryota; Metazoa; Chordata; Aves; Anseriformes; Anatidae
Description: lncRNA (ENSABRG00000016552.1)
Source: RNAcentral